RNA transcript from Wasmannia auropunctata (little fire ant), 4803 nucleotides. It is a transcript of the gene named probable cytosolic oligopeptidase A, with no coding region annotated. The record is from RefSeq and is a predicted model, not a curated record. NCBI's taxonomy places the organism in Eukaryota, Metazoa, Arthropoda, Insecta, Hymenoptera, Formicidae. The transcript is spliced from 12 exons.
ACUUCGAUAUGUCGAUCAUGCGGCUUUUAGGUUUUGGUUAACCUUUUCCAAUUUGAGUGCGCGAUGAUGAGUUUUUGACGUUGAUUUAAAAAAGAAUUGAUCCUCGCGUGGUAGAAUGGCGGCGUCCUUCCUCGGGAGAAGAAUCGCUUUAACGCGACGGAGUUUCUUGAAAAUUCCGAAGCGACACGGAUAUAUAGUCCUACUUCCAGAAAUCGGUGAGGAAUCGUCGGAGAAAAAUCCUUUACUGAAGGAUGACAAUUUGCCAGAGUUUAACACAAUUACGAUCGAAAAAUGUAUAGCAGCUAUUGGAAAACAAACUGUGGACUUUGAAGAGAAGAUGAAAAGUCUGGAAAAAAUAGAGUCGACAAAAGAUUUAGAUAUAUUUAAUGAUUGGUUGCAUCCAAUCGAGGACGCGUAUCUUCCUCUAGAGACCACUUGGGGCAUAGCGAAGACCUUGUACUUUGGCAAUCAGAGCUUGAUGCCGACGAAAUGCUACGUGAAUAUCCACGAGCGUGCCACGAGAGCCAUAGCCAGCAAAUUUGGCAGCGUGCCGCUCUUCAGAGCGUGCAAGGAAGUGUUGGACAACAAGGAUCUCAAAUUGACGCACUCGCAGAGGAGAGUGCUCAUGAAGUACGUGCUGGAGGGGACCUUGAACGGCCUGCAGCUGCAGGAUAAAGAACUCGACAAGUAUUCGAGCGACUUGAGCUACAUCAUGUCAAAAAUCAAGGAGUACAAGGCGAAAUACGAGAGCUCGACAGCCGUGUACAGUAUGAUAGUACAGAACAAAGAGAUAGUGGAGGAUUUUCCGGAAGACUACCUCAAGUCCAUAGCGGUUAACCCAAGGCAACCUUACAUGGGUCCUUGGAUGAUCACUUUAAAGCCUUAUAUCCUGCAACCGUUUAUGGAAUAUUGUCCUGAUCGCAAUUUGAGGGAGGCGAUCUGGAACGCUGAUGUCAUCCGGUGCUCUAAUUAUCAGGAAAGGUCUGUUCAGGCCAGCGUGACGUUAGAGGAGCUCAGAGGAAGGAGAACCGAGCAGGCGCAACGUUUAGGAUUCAAGAAUUACGCGGAGAUGAGUAUGGAGACGAAAAUGGCCGGCAGUCUGGAGAAUUUACACAACACGCUAGAAACUCUUCGGCAAACAGCAUUGCCAGUUCAGAAACAGGAAAUCGCAAAUUUAACCGAAUUUGCAAAGGCAAGAGAUUUCAAUGAUACUUUAAGGGUAUGGGAUGUUGCAUUCUGGGGUAGAAAACAACUUCGCAGCAUGUACAAUUCCGACGAAAACAAGUGGAGGGCGUACUUUCCGCUACCGACCGUCCUGUCCGGUCUCUUCAAUCACAUCGAGACGCUCUUCAACGUGAAGAUCGUCGAAAGCAAGAAAGCGGAUAUCUGGCAUAAGGACGUCUGGUUCUUCGACCUGUUCGACUUGAACGGAUCCAGCGCGGCGCCGAUCGCGAACUUCUACCUGGAUCCCUAUGCCCGAGGUACGCAGAAGUUCCUCAAGGAACAGCACUCGGGAUGGGUGUCCACGAUCAAAAGCAAGAGCAAAAUCGGCAACAGCACCCCGUUGAUCGCCCUGAUCUUCAAUUUUCCGCCACCGGUAGGCGACAAGCCCUCUCUGCUCUCCUUCAAGGACGUGCAGGUCCUCUUCCAGAAGUUUGGCCAUGCUUUGCAACAUUUGCUGACUACGAUCGAGUACUCUGACAUUGCUGGAUUGUCGUUCGUGGAAUGGGAUGCGGUAUUCAUUUGCGAUUUCUUCAUGGAGAACUGGCUGUACGAACCAUUCAUGCUGCAAAAAAUCUCCGAGCAUUACGAAACUGAAGAGCCACUACCCGCGGAGGCUAUCGAGAGCAUCAAAAGGACGAGGUCGCACCUGGCUGGCUACAAACUUUGCAAAGAGCUUUACUUAUCGCACUUGGAUCUGGAGCUGCAUUCCAGCGGGACAUUUUGGGUGCCCAUGAUGAAGCGCCUGUGGCCGAAAUAUUUCGUGUUACCUCUCGAAAAGAGGGACACUCACGUUUGCAACUUCGAAGCUAUAUGGAGCGGCAAUUGGGCGGCCGCGUACUUCAGCAAAGUUUGGUCCAGGAUGAUAGCCGCCGAUUUAUACACGGCUUUCCAAGAGGUCAAGUCCGACGAGUCGCAGCAGAAGGAGUUGGGCGCGAGGUUCCGCAACACGUUCCUGUCCUUGGGCGGUAGUUAUCCCGCCGCCGAGGUGUUCAGGAAGUUCAGGGGAAGAGAUCCGAGCCCGCAGGCGUUACUGGAUAAUCUCGGAUUAACGCGAGCGACGAAGGAAACCACCAAGUGAUGCGAUUAUGCGACUAGAAUAGAGUACUACUCUUCGAGGAGUAAGAAUAAUGUCAAUCCUUCUUUCCUUUCGCGCGGCGAACAACAAAUGAGAUUGACAAUACAAAUCAACGAGACACCACGGAUGUUACACUACAAAUCCUACAAUCAUCGAUUAAAUUAAUCGCUAUAAUCAGUCCUGGAAACACUUCCUUCGUCUCGAAGGGCCGACACCAGAUAGACGAUCGACGAUAUCCCGACAGGAUCUGGUUUCGUUCUCGUUCUGAGAUUAACUGCUUAAUUAACAGCCACGGACAGGCCGGGUUUUUCCGCACGUUUUUAUCGCGCUCGCUACCUAACUCGUCGUCGCCGUUCGACGCGCGACCUUAUUCACACCCGUUAUACAUUACGGCGCGGUAGGUAGGCAGGAUUAUGAGUCACCUUCCCGGCAUGAAUACUAAAUGCCUCGGCUGCAUCAUUAUCAGGCGUCGCACGUGCAAAAUUUAUUUAUGAGCUCGUUAAUCAUGCUUAUUUAUAGCGAGCUCAUUUAUUUACUGUGUCAAUUCUUUAUAGGACAAUCAAAUUCGCUUCGUCGUUACGGGAAUCCUAAACUUGUUAUCGUGGAAAAAGUUGUACACAGAUCCGAGCUACGCCUGUAGCUUGGUAAACUGUGUUCCGGAGAAACCGCGAAAAAAGAAUUGCGAGAAAAUUAACAGCAACAAAGAUAUAUUAAAAAAAUUCAAAUCAUUAGCUUAAUAGAAGGGCUGUGCAAAUCAGACGCAGUCAGUGGUGCGCGAAAAUUCGUUAAUAUAAAAUUGUCUUUAAUUAAAAUUCAUAAACACAAAAAUAUAUGUAAAAUUAGGGCAGAAUCAGAAAGGGAGGAUUGUUCCUUAAAGGAACAAUCAGAGAGAGAGAAAAAAAAGAAAAUAAUGACCCAUAAAAAAAUCCAAUUAAAAUCAAAAUGGAAUAAGCAAAAACGAUAUCGUUCAGAGAUAGAGAACGAAUUACUUAUGUUCGAAAUUCAUGUUCGAAGUCUCUCUAUCGCGCGCCGACUUUGCUCCGAUUUUAAUUAAAAUCCCUCUGCAUUAUCUCUUUAAUUUCAACUUCGACAUCCGGGCGACAGCUCGUGUCGCAUCUUUUGGACGCGGAGGUUUUAUUCAAGCAGCUGCGUGUGGUAUACACGAGAGCUGGAAGGGUGGCUUUAGGCCGAGGAGCGAAAUACGAGAUCGUGGAGCUUCUUCAUUCGGAUACGAGACUGACGCGCAACUUGGCGAAUGCGCGCGACCGAGCGCGAGAGAGUCGUGCCGCUAACGCUGACGCGUCGCCGUCGUCCGUCCGUCUCGUCGCGGCGCGCUUUUCGCUACCGCGCGCCGUGCAAGAGAGAGAGAGAGAGAGAGAGAGAGAGAGAGAGAGAGACGGGGCAAAGUGACCGCGAGAAGCUUCCCGGAAUGCACAUACACAUACACACACAUACGCGCGUGCAAACGCGCAACGAGUGCACCAGACUGUCUAAUCGCGCCGAGAGAGACCGCGAAAGGAGAUUUCGACGAACAGAGAAGCCAGAAUCCGUGCUUCUUCAAGCAUGAUGACGCGCGUAUAUAUACCUCUCUCUCUCUCUCUCUCUGUCUUUUUUCGCUCAUGCGGCAUCAUAUCUUCUUAUACCGGGUGUCCCGCCAACGUUGCAAGGUUGUAUUUAUGUAUAAAAUGCGUAGGAGCGCGUACAAAUAAAUACGUGCAUUAAACGCCGCAGAUGAGACAGGCGAGCCAAAAUCUUGGCGCAGAUUUGCCGAAAUAUUAGCGCGUGAGUAACUCAGAACUUCCGACAGUUUCACCAUCCCGCGGUUUCGUAUACGUAUAUGAGAGAUCGCCGCGCGAGAUUAGAUAUAAAUAACGACUCACGCGCGAUAUUGAAGCAAUCGAGGAAAAAAGAAAAGUGCGAUUUUCUAUUUUUGAAAUUGCCGGUCAUGAUGCAAGAGUAUCUAUAAGACGCGAUCGAUGCGCGUCUAGAUUUCGCAGAGAUGUGCACCGAAAUUGGUGCACAACGUCAAGGCAGUUUGCAUUUUUGCGGCGUCCUGCAGUCAGGUCACACAUUUGUAUUUUAUUCUACUUUUGUAUUUUUGUAUUUUUUCUUUGUAUUUUACUUUUCUUUCGUAUUUGAUUGAUAAGAAAAAUUGCAGUUCGUGACACAGUUGUUCAGCAGUUUGCGUGUAAAAUACGGAGAUCUUCUAAUGGAAGUUUAUUUCGAGAAUGACUUCUAUGGAAAAUAAAGUUUUUUUUUUGUAAGAAAUAAUUCAUUCUGCAUAUUUGGACUUAUUUUCGCAUGAGAUUAUUAAUAUUAGUUUUUCGCAAUAACUUUGGGCGUUCUCUCUUUAUGUAAUGAAAUUAAAAAUAGUUUUUCCAUUAAUAGCAAAUCACUUUUAUUCCUAAAUCACAUAUUUUGAAACUUGCGUCUGAAAAUUAAAAAAAUAUGCAGUAUUGAAACUUGCAAAAUUGUAAACUUAUAAUAAAUGAUAGCGUUUUCCA